Molecule: long non-coding RNA, 941 nt
Organism: Lycium ferocissimum
Lineage: Eukaryota; Viridiplantae; Streptophyta; Magnoliopsida; Solanales; Solanaceae
Exons: 3
Source: RefSeq, a predicted model, not a curated record
AAGCGAUCCUUUAAAGAUCGAUCCAAGACUAAGAAGACGUUGUUGGAUAGGAGGCACUUUGUAAUGGAGCAGAUCUACCAUUUGGGAGAAGAUUCUCUCCCGUAAGGCUUAUUUCUAAAUUUAUUUGGCGGAAGUACGCAAGCAAGCUUUUGAAUUCAAGAGUGGAGGUUAAAUUCUGAAUCUCUCUGAAAAUAGUACUUCUAAUUCUAUUUUUCUUAGAGAUUACUGAUUUAGAUAUCUUUAUCUCUAUGAAUUUGAACUUUUCAUUUGAUGAAUGAUCAUAUAUUUUCUUCUUACCCAAAAGUUCACUUUAAGAGAUCUAAUCUCCAUAAGGAUAGAUGUUCUAAUUAAACAUAUGCGUUACUGCAUAUCGUUUGGUGGCAUAUAUUGAGUGUGUGCAUCUCACAUACUAUAGUCAUGUCUGUGUAGCCCAAGGCAAGGCAUCAAACAUCGGUACUUCUGAUUAGCUGAAUCACAAACCAAACGAAUUUCACUAAUAUAUAUUUUUCGAGCUCCUCCAUUUCAAUCUUUUAUUUAUUGAUAUAUACUUGCCUUUUGCAGGUUUUCAUCGUAAACUUCUCCAAAUAUUGUGGUUUAUGGAAUGGUAAAAGUUGCUACUAAGUACGUGAAGCUACGACUCACUACGACAUAGGAAAUGCUGAGUUCGAAUGAGCUUAUGAUGAUAAUUUUGGGUGCUAUGCAUUAUUAAGAUGCUUGUGUGCUUUGCACAUACUAUAGAAUAAAAGAUGUCUGUUAUAUACGAAUCAUAAUGAUGUACACAAAGUUUUUUAAAAGUGUUUUUGUGAUGGGUAUCUAUUUCGCACAUGUAUAUGGCAAUGCCGUGUUAGUACCAAGGCCUUUGGCUAAGUGUACCUAGCGGUUGUAGUACAAAAAAAGAUUGGGACUUAAUUAGGACUUCUUUCCUCUCUUUUUCUUUUCAA